Molecule: ribosomal RNA, 119 nt
Filed under: Pteropus alecto (black flying fox)
Lineage: Eukaryota; Metazoa; Chordata; Mammalia; Chiroptera; Pteropodidae
Source: RNAcentral
GUCUAUGGCCAUGCUACCCUGAAUGUGCCCGAUCUUGUCUGAUGUCAGAAGCUAAGCAGGGUCAGGCCUGGUUAGUACUUGGAUGGGAGAUCACCUAGGAAUAUCAGGGUCUGUAGACG